This 424-nucleotide ribosomal RNA is filed under the name uncultured prokaryote. Its description in RNAcentral is "bacterial SSU rRNA". It matches the Rfam family "Bacterial small subunit ribosomal RNA", at positions 355 to 796 of the family's 1533-position model. The record is from RNAcentral.
UGGGGAAUCUUGGACAAUGGGGGCAACCCUGAUCCAGCCAUGCCGCGUGGACGAUGAAGGCCUUAGGGUUGUAAAGUCCUUUCGCCGGGGAAGAUAAUGACGGUACCCGGUAAAGAAGCCCCGGCUAACUCCGUGCCAGCAGCCGCGGUAAUACGGAGGGGGCUAGCGUUGUUCGGAAUUACUGGGCGUAAAGCGCACGUAGGCGGACGCUUAAGUCAGGGGUGAAAUCCCGGGGCUCAACCCCGGAACUGCCUUUGAUACUGGGUGUCUGGAGGUCGAGAGAGGUGAGUGGAAUUCCGAGUGUAGAGGUGAAAUUCGUAGAUAUUCGGAGGAACACCAGUGGCGAAGGCGGCUCACUGGCUCGAUACUGACGCUGAGGUGCGAAAGCGUGGGGAGCAAACAGGAUUAGAUACCCCCGUAGUCC